RNAcentral lists this ribosomal RNA (497 nucleotides) under uncultured bacterium. RNAcentral describes it as "partial 16S ribosomal RNA". It matches the Rfam family "Bacterial small subunit ribosomal RNA", at positions 28 to 507 of the family's 1533-position model. The record is from RNAcentral.
GAUGAACGCUGGCGGCGUGCCUAAUACAUGCAAGUCGAGCGAACGGACGAGAAGCUUGCUUCUCUGAUGUUAGCGGCGGACGGGUGAGUAACACGUGGAUAACCUACCUAUAAGACUGGGAUAACUUCGGGAAACCGUAGCUAAUACCGGAUAAUAUUUUGAACCGCAUGGUUCAAAAGUGAAAGACGGUCUUGCUGUCACUUAUAGAUGGAUCCGCGCUGCAUUAGCUAGUUGGUAAGGUAACGGCUUACCAAGGCAACGAUGCAUAGCCGACCUGAGAGGGGGGUAGGCCACACGGGAACUUGAGAACGGGCCCGGCUUCCAAGGGAAGGCACAGGAGGGAAUCUUCCGCAAUGGGGGGAAGCCUUACAGAACAACGGCGCGUGAGUUGUGGAAGUCCUUCGGUCGUAAAAACCUUUUUUUAGGGGAAAACCUAUGUGGAAGUAACUGUGCACAUCUUGACGGUACCUAAUCAGAAAGCCACGGCUAACUACGUG